AAGUCGUAACAAGGUUUCCGUAGGUGAACCUGCGGAAGGAUCAUUAACGAAUAACUAUGGCGUUGGUUGUAGCUGGCUCCUCGGAGCAAUGUGCACGCCCGCCAUUUUUAUCUUUCCACCUGUGCACCGACUGUAGGUCUGGAUACCUCUCGCCUCCGGGCGGAUGCGAGGGUUGCUCGUAAGGGCUUCCCUUGAACUUCCAGGCUCUACGUCUUUUUACACACCCCAAUAGUAUGAUGCAGAAUGUAGUCAAUGGGCUUCUCAGCCUAUAAAGCACUAUACAACUUUCAGCAACGGAUCUCUUGGCUCUC
RNAcentral lists this unclassified non-coding RNA (311 nucleotides) under Coprinellus xanthothrix. Its description in RNAcentral is "partial internal transcribed spacer region". The stretch from base 1 to 46 matches the Rfam family "Eukaryotic small subunit ribosomal RNA", at positions 1786 to 1831 of the family's 1831-position model. The record is from RNAcentral. Lineage: Eukaryota; Fungi; Basidiomycota; Agaricomycetes; Agaricales; Psathyrellaceae.